This 261-nucleotide ribosomal RNA is filed under the name uncultured bacterium. Its description in RNAcentral is "partial 16S ribosomal RNA". The record is from RNAcentral.
CUGCUGCCUUCCGUAGGAGUUUGGGCCGUGUCUCAGUCCCAAUGUGGCCGGUCACCCUCUCAGGUCGGCUACUGAUCGUCGCUUUGGUGGGCCGUUACCCCGCCAACUGGCUAAUCAGACGCGGGCCCAUCCCAUACCACCGGAGUUUUUCACACCGGGCCAUGCGGCCCUGUGCGCUUAUGCGGUGUUAGCAGUCAUUUCUAACUGUUAUCCCCCUGUACUGGGGCAGGUUGCCCACGCGUUACUCACCCGUCCGCCACU